GAUGGGGUGGCUGAUGAUAGGCAAUAAAUUGUAAAUUUAUUCAUGGUUGUAUAAACCCUCCAUUA
Molecule: transfer RNA, 65 nt
Filed under: Sirthenea flavipes
Lineage: Eukaryota; Metazoa; Arthropoda; Insecta; Hemiptera; Reduviidae
Description: tRNA-Tyr
Source: RNAcentral